GACGAACGCUGGCGGCGUGCUUAACACAUGCAAGUCACGGGGGCCCAGCAAUGGGUAACCGGCGAACGGGUGCGUAACACGUGAGCAACCUGCCGAUCUGAGGGGGAUAGCCGGCCCAACGGCCGGGUAAUACCGCAUACGUUCUUGAGAGGACAUCCUCUUGGGAAGAAACCUCCGGGGCAGAUCGAGGGGCUCGCGGCCUAUCAGCUAGUUGGUGUGGGUAACGGCCCACCAAGGCGACGACGGGAGCUGGUCUGAGAGGAUGGCCAGCCACAUUGGGACUGAGAGACGGCCCAGACUCCUACGGGAGGCAGCAGUGGGGAAUCUUGCGCAAUGGCCGAAAGGCUGACGCAGCGACGCCGCGUGUGGGAUGAAGCAUUUCGGUGUGUAAACCACUGUUGCCCGGGACGAACAGCUCUUUUCGAGGAGCCUGACGGUACCGGGUGAGGAAGCACCGGCUAACUCCGUGCCAGCAGCCG
RNAcentral lists this ribosomal RNA (479 nucleotides) under uncultured bacterium. RNAcentral's name for it is "bacterial SSU rRNA". It matches the Rfam family "Bacterial small subunit ribosomal RNA", at positions 28 to 517 of the family's 1533-position model. The record is from RNAcentral.